GCAGCCCAAAGGGUGCAGACCUGAGACCUCUGACCAACAGUCAGCAGGGAACUGAGACCUGCUGCCCACAGCCAUGUAAGCGAGCAUGGAAAUGGAUCCUGUAGCCCUGGUCAAGCCUUCAGACACCUGAAGGGAAUGAUCUCCUUUCCUACUUCUGAGCAUUGUUACCUACAUGUGAAUCUUGGAACUGCUGCAGUCUUAAUGAUACCUAAGAUACCAGCCUUGAGUGAUGGGGAUUGAGAAUAAUGCAUUCCGCAGACCAACAGUCAUGUACAAAAUGCCAGAUAUUUUGUAGAUCUGUUUCAGUGAAGACACCACCUCUACUCGAGCAGCUGCAUUUGAGACUGUCAGCUGUUUAAAUUUAUGGUAGUCCACCAUAAUCUUCCACAAUCUAUCUUGUUUCUAUAGGAGCCAAACAGUGUCUUCAUUGAUUCUCGCCACACUUUCUGGAAUAGGAAGAACACAUGUGAUAAUUGUUGAUGAGUACACUGAUGGAUAGAACAUUGUAUAUUUCUCUAGGUCCUAUAAUCUGAUCACAACUUAUUGAGACAUAACAAAGUCUCUUUUGGUUCUUGAGCAUUGUGUGAAGAUGUUAUUUUUGAAACUGCUGCAGCCAUCACGUAACUAAGAGGGAGUGAGACUUCACGGGUGGAAAGAACCUGGAUCCUUGAUGACACAGUUGAUUCAUUGAAUCAACCACCCAUCAAAAGCCCAAUCCCUACACUUGAGUGAAGCAGAGGAAGAUUAUACACACAGAAGAAGAGGAAAUGAUGUGACCACGGAGGCAGAAAUUGAAGUGAUGUGGAUGCACGCUAAGUAAUGCCAGUAGUCACCAGAAGCUGGAAGAGUCACGCUAUCUCCACAACAGCCUCUUGAAGAAUGGCCCUAACACUACCUUAAUUUCAGUCCAGUGAAAAUGAUUUCAGACUUCUGGCCUCUGAAACUGUGAGGAAUAAUUUUCUGUUGUUUUAAGCCAACAAAUUUGUGGUGAUUUGUUACAGUAGUCUUAGAAAACUAAUAUGCUUUUCUACCCAGUUGCAUGACUCUCUCCAGCUGCUCUGAUGUAAUCAUAGAAAUGGUGGAUGGUCGAGUUGUUUUUGCAAGGAUGAUGGAAGCAGAAAGGAGAACGGAAUCCUGGAUGUUUUCAAAAUGAGGAAGUUGAAAUCAAGACAAACAAGUGAUGUGGCCAAGGCCAAACAGUUGAUAAGUUUGCUGUCUUUGGUGCCUAGUCUAGAGAGAACCAGCAGCAUCUACUAGAAAGAGAUGAAUGUCAUGCUAAUUUUAUAUGUGACCACGGGUGAGUCACUUCCCCUCACCAGGAAAAGAUGUCUUUAUCUGUAAAAGAGAUGAUUGAAAUAAACUAUCUUGAAGGUC
RNAcentral lists this long non-coding RNA (1374 nucleotides) under Equus asinus (donkey). RNAcentral describes it as "lncRNA (ENSEASG00005027768.1)". The record is from RNAcentral. Lineage: Eukaryota; Metazoa; Chordata; Mammalia; Perissodactyla; Equidae.